Long non-coding RNA from Maylandia zebra (zebra mbuna), 1117 nucleotides. RefSeq lists it as uncharacterized. Lineage: Eukaryota; Metazoa; Chordata; Actinopteri; Cichliformes; Cichlidae. The record is from RefSeq and is a predicted model, not a curated record.
CUCCAUGCUGUUGUUAUUAAGUGUCUGGCUUUUUUUUAAAAUCGAAUUUUCCUGUGUCUUAGAUCUUCUGGACUCUCUACGACACUUGCCUUUGGCUUCAGCUUCUCGUCUUGGAUAAUUAUCUCACUCUGGAAAUCUCUCUGAGCCUCACCUGCCUGCCCUCCAGCCAUCACACAAUAUCGGAUCCUGCAGAACUCAGGUCAGCCAGUCUGCACCAUCGAACACAUCGCCUUUCCCUCAAAGCCUGUUUCACUCCAGCUACAAGUAAGUACGACCUCUAGCCGUACCUGUCACGCUCCAGUCGCUCCUCCAAGUCCCAUUCCCAUCUAGGUCCAGGACCUCGGCACCACGCCACACGCCAUGGAUGCAUGUCAUUUCUCCUGGUGCCCAGUACUGUUAAGUCUAACCUGUGGUAGUUUAAAACAUUUUGCCAUCUCUGCCUUGGGUUUCUGCGUUUGAGUCCAGUUCUGGUACCAGCUUUCGGGCCAUUGUGACAUAGAAUUUAAAUACCUGAUGAGCUGAUGAACAUGUUGAUGACCUGCAGGUACCUUUUAUUCUCCUCUCCAUUCUAUAACAGGUUUUAUGCAUUUCUACCAGAAGGAAAAUACAGCAUGGUUAGCAUUGAUACCUCAAAGGACAGAAUCUUAAUCAAGGAUGUUACUUCCUGGUUGAAUCGAAACAAAACAAAACUGGAUGGUAUCAAAAAGCUGACACCAGCACGCCACCACGCUGCUGAUCCAUAAAUUGAGGAUCAAAAAUUCAAUGAUGACAUAUGCAGCCUGGAUUCUGUUUCAUGGAUAGUACCCCAACGUCUGCUACAUAAAUUUAUGUAAUAUCUGGUUCUUAAAUAGCGUGAAGGUAAAGCUUGUCCUGCACCAGCUCAGCUGUGACUGAGGUUAUCUGGAGACAGACAGGGCAUCAACAAAAUCAGUAUAAUUCAUCUUUAGGAGACUUUCUGGACCACAUUUUAUGGUAAACCACUGUUAAGAUAUGGUUCGCUGGUUUGUCUAAAAACUGAACAAAAAACACUGGCAGCUGCUAUUGCUACCCCUAAGCCUCCUGGUAGAUGUGCCUAGGGUAUGAAUUUGGAAAUCCUAGGUGACAUCUUUCUUGAGGU